This is a long non-coding RNA of Lagenorhynchus albirostris (white-beaked dolphin), 388 nucleotides long. RefSeq lists it as uncharacterized. The record is from RefSeq and is a predicted model, not a curated record. Lineage: Eukaryota; Metazoa; Chordata; Mammalia; Artiodactyla; Delphinidae. The transcript is spliced from 3 exons.
UGCUCCGCAAUGGGAGAGGCCACAACAGUGAGAGGCCCGCAUAACGCAAAAAAACAAAACAAACAAACAAACAAAAAAUCUGGUUUCAACUAUACACGGAUCAUUCAUCAGUGUGGCGGCCGUGGUCUAGUCCUGCACUCUCUCCAAGGUUCAGCUUCCUGAGCAGCAAACAGGGGAUAAGAGCUCUCUCUUCAAAAGACUGGUACAAGCUGCCCACGGAGGCCCUAACUCAGCACCUUCUGAAUGAAUGGACGAAGAAGUCCAGAUUCUUCCCUGUGAGUUAUUUGUCUUCGUUGGAAAUUUGAUGGAUGGCAUCGUAUGAAAAAAACUAUUAAAAUCCUCCAAUGAAAAAUGUACAUAUCUAUUGUGAAUUCUGCACUAAAGUGGU